Molecule: ribosomal RNA, 100 nt
Filed under: Danio rerio (zebrafish)
Lineage: Eukaryota; Metazoa; Chordata; Actinopteri; Cypriniformes; Danionidae
Source: RNAcentral
CCCUGCAGCUUAAGAGCGGUUGCUCACUGAAGCUAAGCACACUGAGCCUGGUCAGUACCUGGAUGGGAGACCACAUGGGAACACUAGGUUGCUGUUGGAA